AUUGAACGCUGGCGGCAUGCCUUACACAUACAAGUCGAACGGUAACGCGGGGGCAACCCUGGCGACGAGUGGCGAACGGGUGAGUAAUACAUCGGAACGUGUCCUGUUGUGGGGGAUAACCCAUCGAAAGGUGAGCUAAUACCGCAUGAUCUGGAGACAGCAAAGCAGGGGACCGGUAACGGCCUUGCGCGAUUGGAGCGGCCGAUGUCCGAUUAGCUAGUUGGUGGGGUAAAGGCCCACCAAGGCAACGAUCGGUAGCUGGUCUGAGAGGAUGAUCAGCCACACUGGGACUGAGACACGGCCCAGACUCCUACGGGAGGCAGCAGUGGGGAAUUUUGGACAAUGGGGGCAACCCUGAUCCAGCCAUGCCGCGUGCGGGAAGAAGGCCU
This 389-nucleotide ribosomal RNA is filed under the name uncultured bacterium. RNAcentral describes it as "bacterial SSU rRNA". It matches the Rfam family "Bacterial small subunit ribosomal RNA", at positions 29 to 417 of the family's 1533-position model. The record is from RNAcentral.